GGCCAAGCAUCAGUGCAAGAAAAAGCUGUAUGUUUAUAACUGGUGCUGCUUGGCACAUCCCAAGUUGCACUUUUAAAAGCAUGCUACACUCGCUGUGAAAGGGUAUCUUUAGCACGACUUGCAGAAUCACUCAAACAUGUGCUCCAUUUAAUAAGUUAUAACAGGCUUUCCCAAACUCCAGCCUUCCAGAUGUUGCUGAACUACAACUCCCAUGAUUCUCAGCCUAUCUAGUUCAUUCAGCGAAUCAUGGGACUUGUAGUUCAGCAACAUCUGGAGGGCCGGCAUUUGGG
Pelobates cultripes (western spadefoot toad) is the source of this 290-nucleotide non-coding RNA. NCBI's taxonomy places the organism in Eukaryota, Metazoa, Chordata, Amphibia, Anura, Pelobatidae. The record is from the annotation of a GenBank genome assembly.